CUAAAGUUGUUGACGUAUAAAACGGAGACACAUUUAUUCGAUUCGUCACAUCACCAACGAUUGUUUUACAAGUAACAAUAAUCCGCUGUAUUCCCAGUAAAGAAGAAAAAGGACUCUGGAUUCGCUGUAACAACGAUGGGCUCAUUCAAAGUUGCGAUGCUCCUUGCGGUAUUGGUGGCCGUGUCUUUCACCAUGGAGGCAGCUGCUAAUCCCAUUGCGACCGCCCAGGAUUUGGGAAUUGCGGCCGAAAUGAGCGGACUGACGAGCCCCGUAGAGACGGCCAUCUCUCAUGAUUUGAAUGUUGCUGAGCACAAGAAGAAGAAGUACAGAGGAGGUGGAGGAGGUGGUGGCGGUUCCAGCGAAGAAGGUCGUUAAUAAGAAUUAGGAGAAAAAAGGGGAAAUUCCAGGGCGUUGGCAACAGAAGUUCAAGGAGAGUGCCUAAUGCGGUCACCAGAGACAGCGCUUUGAUUACUUUUCAAAAAUCAUUUAGACGUAUACAUAAAUACCUAUAUCGUGUUAUCCACUCAUUUCACAUGCUGCGAUGAAAUCAGAUUUAUUCAAUAAAAGAUAUAUCCGUACGAAAAACAA
This is a long non-coding RNA of Daphnia pulex (common water flea), 588 nucleotides long. RefSeq lists it as uncharacterized. The transcript is spliced from 4 exons. The record is from RefSeq and is a predicted model, not a curated record. Lineage: Eukaryota; Metazoa; Arthropoda; Branchiopoda; Diplostraca; Daphniidae.